RNAcentral lists this long non-coding RNA (278 nucleotides) under Solanum tuberosum (potato). RNAcentral's name for it is "long non-coding RNA (STUB_LNC000558)". Lineage: Eukaryota; Viridiplantae; Streptophyta; Magnoliopsida; Solanales; Solanaceae. The record is from RNAcentral.
UGACAUCUGUCCGAGUUCGCCAUGAACUCCUACUUCCUUCCUUUUGCAUUUCGAGAGAGCCAUAAAGGCUCGAGUUCCUUCCUUUUUGAAUCAGUUGGUCAGUGAAAUCGAAGAACAGGGACGGAGGAUUGAUUUACAUGUGCUCGAGAGUUAAAAAGGGGUUGUAUACGUGCUGUAUACAGCACGAUAUACAGGAAGCAAAGCUGAUAUACAUCAGUUUACAGUGUGAUACAGAAGUUGUAUACACUGUAUACAGUGACGAAAAUGGCCCAAAAGGC